RNAcentral lists this transfer RNA (73 nucleotides) under Camelus bactrianus (Bactrian camel). It matches the Rfam family "tRNA". Rfam says of the family: Transfer RNA (tRNA) molecules are approximately 80 nucleotides in length. Their secondary structure includes four short double-helical elements and three loops (D, anti-codon, and T loops). The record is from Rfam by way of RNAcentral. Lineage: Eukaryota; Metazoa; Chordata; Mammalia; Artiodactyla; Camelidae. RNAcentral also lists the same sequence under 2 other names.
GAGGGUACAGCUCAAGUGGUAGAGCGCAUGCUUAUCAUGCACAAGGUCCUGGGUUCAAUCCCUAGUACCUCUU